RNAcentral lists this ribosomal RNA (424 nucleotides) under Verrucomicrobiota bacterium. Its description in RNAcentral is "Verrucomicrobia bacterium partial 16S ribosomal RNA". It matches the Rfam family "Bacterial small subunit ribosomal RNA", at positions 355 to 776 of the family's 1533-position model. The record is from RNAcentral. Lineage: Bacteria; Pseudomonadati; Verrucomicrobiota.
UGAGGAAUAUUGGUCAAUGGACGAGAGUCUGAACCAGCCAAGUAGCGUGCAGGAUGACGGCCCUAUGGGUUGUCACCUGCCUUUGUUUGGGAAUAAUCGACAUUACGUGUAAUGUUUUGCAUGUACCAUUCGAAUAAGGACCGGCUAAUUCCGUGCCAGCAGCCGCGGUAAUACGGAAGGUCCAGGCGUUAUCCGGAUUUAUUGGGUUUAAAGGGAGUGUUGGCGGUUGGUUAAGCGUGUUGUGAAAUGUAGAUGCUCAACAUCUGACUUGCAGCGCGAAAUGGCUGACUUGAGUACACACAACGUAGGCGGAAUUAAUGGUGUAGCGGUGAGAUGCUUAGAUAUCAUGAAGAACUCCGAUUGCGAAGGCAGCUUACGGGAGUGUUACUGACGCUUAAGCUCGAAGGUGCGGGUAUCGAACAGG